AGAGUUUGAUCAUGGCUCAGAACGAACGCUGGCGGCGUGGAUAAGACAUGCAAGUCGAACGCGACUUAUCUGGUUAGCAAUAACUAGGUAAGUUGAGUGGCGAAAGGGUGCGUAACACGUGGGAAUUUACCAAGAAGUGGGGAAUAGCUCGACGAAAGUCGAAUUAAUACCGCAUAUGAUCGCAAGAUCAAAGCCGGGGACCGCAAGGCCUGGCGCUUUUUGAGAAGCCCGCGGCCCAUCAGCUAGUUGGCGAGGUAAAAGCUCACCAAGGCUAUGACGGGUAGCUGGUCUGAGAGGACGACCAGCCACACUGGAACUGAGACACGGUCCAGACACCUACGGGUGGCAGCAGUCGAGAAUUUUUCACAAUGGACGAAAGUCUGAUGGAGCGACGCCGCGUGGAGGAUGAAGGUUUUCGGAUUGUAAACUCCUGUCACUGCAGAACAAGGUUACGCCGGUUAACAGCCGGUGUAAUUGAUGGUAUGCGGAGAGGAAGGGACGGCUAACUCUGUGCCAGCAGCCGCGGUAAGACAGAGGUCCCGAGCGUUGUUCGGAUUCAUUGGGCGUAAAGGGUGUGUAGGAGGUUGGGUAAGUCAGGUGUGAAAUCUCAGAGCUUAACUCUGAAACUGCGCUUGAUACUGCUCAGCUAGAGGAUCGGAGGGGGUAACGGAAUUUAUGGUGUAGCAGUGAAAUGCGUAGAUAUCAUAAGGAACACCGGUGGUGAAGGCGGUUACCUGGAAGAUUCCUGACUCUGAAACACGAAAGCCAGGGGAGCAAACGGGAUUAGAUACCCCAGUAGUCC
RNAcentral lists this ribosomal RNA (802 nucleotides) under uncultured bacterium. RNAcentral describes it as "bacterial SSU rRNA". It matches the Rfam family "Bacterial small subunit ribosomal RNA", at positions 8 to 796 of the family's 1533-position model. The record is from RNAcentral.